This 95-nucleotide transfer RNA is filed under the name Dendrobium falconeri. RNAcentral describes it as "tRNA-Ser". It matches the Rfam family "tRNA". From Rfam's summary of the family: Transfer RNA (tRNA) molecules are approximately 80 nucleotides in length. Their secondary structure includes four short double-helical elements and three loops (D, anti-codon, and T loops). RNAcentral also lists the same sequence under 3 other names. The record is from RNAcentral. Lineage: Eukaryota; Viridiplantae; Streptophyta; Magnoliopsida; Asparagales; Orchidaceae.
GGAGAGAUGGCUGAGUGGACUAAAGCGUCGGAUUGCUAAUCCGUUGUACGAAUUAUUCGUACCGAGGGUUCGAAUCCCUCUCUCUCCGACCCCCU